Molecule: long non-coding RNA, 1554 nt
Organism: Podarcis muralis (Common wall lizard)
Lineage: Eukaryota; Metazoa; Chordata; Lepidosauria; Squamata; Lacertidae
Source: Ensembl
AUGGAUCUGGCCUGCAACGCCCUUCUUCUCGCCGCCUUAUCCUGGGUCACGUCCACCUCAUCGGACCACUGCACAGGAUUACAAAUGGACUAUCACUUCCUGGACUAUCAUGAGGUCGAGACGGGAAGGGCUAACCCUGACCGAAUGGGGGAUUUUGAUUUCUGCCUUCCAGAGUCUCGAAUCUUACUGCGCCAUUCUCUAGUACCCCGACUCACCAACGGCGGGUACUGGGAACUUUUCAUCCGAAACAAGGACUUGCGCCGUAUCGGGUCCGCGGCCCUCGCUCUUGAUCACUCCUCUUACCGGCUGACCUGCCAAAACGGGACUUAUCUUCUCUACGCGAACGGAGGGAUCUCACAAAACCCGAACUGGACCGAAGUCGAGGUAGGAGGGGCUUCCCACGCUUACACGGACUCAAACCCCUCUGGAAACUUGAUUUUCGGGUUCCAGUGUCUCCUCUCCACCCCAGAAACCCGGAAGCCGCAACUCCAGGGACUCUGCCUGCGGCGAUUCUGCUGUGUAUGGAACCUAGGGGUCACUCAUGAGUGGAAAGGGGCUGAAUAUCUAGAAGGUUGGCACCAUCUCGUACACCCUUCACGCUCCCCCUCAUGGGACCACGUCGGACCCCUGAGAUGCGGCGGUAUCGCCAGGGUUAGACGACUAUUGAACACCACCGACCCACUCCACCCAGUCGGCACAGCACCUCGACAAUUCGGCACUGACCCUGCACUCCCGGGAGAAGACCUCCUUUCAUCCUGGGAGCAAAACUCCUAUAUUAAACUCCUCAGCCAGGUGGCAAAGGAAGCACCCUACCCAGACUGCUGGAUCUGUGCCCACGCGCCUAGCCACCUCCAGCAGAGCCUCCCACUAGUCCCAGUGCCAGUGACCCUCGAACAAUUCCGUUCUGGAAACGUCACUUCCUGGAACUUAACUGCACUCAACUUGACACAUCAAUAUCUCUAUCUCACAGGCCCUACAAAGGGGCCCCUUUGCCGCAGCUUCUCCGGGGAAGGGACCUUCAUUGGAUCCAGCACAUGUUCUAACACUCUCGAAAUCUUACCAACUGGCCGGGUCACGGUCACCAAUACAAGAGACUCCCGGACUUUUCCAAACCUCACCGCCGCCUGGGCCGCUGUCGUUGGACACCCCUUGGACUGGAAACCCCAAACCCCAGACUCCAUGCUAUUGCAAACCUUUGCUUCAGGCCGAAUGGAAUCUUACCUCAGCGGCCUAUUCUGGGUGUGUGGACACCGCGCAUAUACAUGGGUGAGUCCACACAUGUCUGGAUCCUGCUUCGUCGGCUACAUUGUCCCCGGAAUUAGGAUAGUUCCACACCUACCCCCUGGAAGACAGCGGAACAAAAGAGAGCAAAGGGAGCUGUCAGACCUGUCAGAUGUUGCUGCAAAUGGAGAGACCGUGGGCCGAGCACUUUCCCUGCCUACGGGGCUGGUUCAAACCAUGUGGAUAUCCUUCGACUCACCGACAUCCUCCUUAAGUUCAUGCAGGAGGCGACCCAGAUCACAGACUCUCUCAUGUCGGAACUAUCCGAGGUAA